RNAcentral lists this ribosomal RNA (460 nucleotides) under uncultured bacterium. RNAcentral's name for it is "partial 16S ribosomal RNA". It matches the Rfam family "Bacterial small subunit ribosomal RNA", at positions 338 to 795 of the family's 1533-position model. The record is from RNAcentral.
CCUACGGGAGGCAGCAGUGAGGAAUAUUGGUCAAUGGACGAGAGUCUGAACCAGCCAAGUAGCGUGAAGGAUGACUGCCCUAUGGGUUGUAAACUUCUUUUAUAAAGGAAUAAAACGAGGCACGUGUGCCUUUUUGUAUGUACUUUAUGAAUAAGGAUCGGCUAACUCCGUGCCAGCAGCCGCGGUAAUACGGAGGAUCCGAGCGUUAUCCGGAUUUAUUGGGUUUAAAGGGAGCGUAGAUGGGUUGUUAAGUCAGUUGUGAAAGUUUGCGGCUCAACCGUAAAAUUGCAAUUGAUACUGGCAGUCUUGAGUACAGUAGAGGUGGGCGGAAUUCGUGGUGUAGCGGUGAAAUGCUUAGAUAUCACGAAGAACUCCGAUUGUGAAGGCAGCUUACUAAACUGUGACUGACAUUGAUGCUCGAAAGUGUGGGUAUCAAACAGGAUUAGAUACCCGGGUAGUC